This 292-nucleotide ribosomal RNA is filed under the name uncultured Staphylococcus sp. RNAcentral describes it as "partial 16S ribosomal RNA". It matches the Rfam family "Bacterial small subunit ribosomal RNA", at positions 505 to 796 of the family's 1533-position model. The record is from RNAcentral. Lineage: Bacteria; Bacillati; Bacillota; Bacilli; Caryophanales; Staphylococcaceae.
GUGUCAGCAGCCGCGGUAAGACGGAGGGGGCAAGCGUUAUCCGGAAUUAUUGGGCGUAAAGCGCGCGUAGGCGGUUUUUUAAGUCUGAUGUGAAAGCCCACGGCUCAACCGUGGAGGGUCAUUGGAAACUGGAAAACUUGAGUGCAGAAGAGGAAAGUGGAAUUCCAUGUGUAGCGGUGAAAUGCGCAGAGAUAUGGAGGAACACCAGUGGCGAAGGCGACUUUCUGGUCUGUAACUGACGCUGAUGUGCGAAAGCGUGGGGAUCAAACAGGAUUAGAAACCCCCGUAGUCC